UUGUAACGGCGAAAAUCGGCCAUCGGUUCGGAGACAAAGCGAGACAGAGAAUUUGCUUUUCGACGACAUUUUACGCGCCGACCGACCGUCAGACGGGAGCGUGCCGAUAAUAUUGUACGCAGCCCGUGUUGUUUUUUACCGCGUCCGCCUGCAGGUCAUAUUCUACCGGGCAGUAGGACACUCGAAUAAAUCGGGCGGAGGAAAUACCAAACGUCCGCAGUUUUAAGUCUGUA
This is a non-coding RNA of Cinara cedri, 233 nucleotides long. NCBI's taxonomy places the organism in Eukaryota, Metazoa, Arthropoda, Insecta, Hemiptera, Aphididae. The record is from the annotation of a GenBank genome assembly.